CAGCCGUAAACUAUGCUCGCUAGGUGUCAGGGACGGUGCGACCGUUUCUGGUGCCGCAGGGAAGCCGUGAAGCGAGCCACCUGGGAAGUACGGUCGCAAGGCUGAAACUUAAGGAUUGGCGGGGGAGCACCACAACGGGUGGAGCCUGCGGUUUAAUUGGACUCAACGCCGGGAAGCUCACCGGAUAAGACAGCGGAAUGAUUGCCGGGCUGAAGACCCUGCAUGACCAGCUGAGAGGUGGUGCAUGGCGUAGUCGUGU
Molecule: ribosomal RNA, 259 nt
Filed under: uncultured archaeon
Lineage: Archaea
Description: partial 16S ribosomal RNA
Rfam family: Archaeal small subunit ribosomal RNA
Source: RNAcentral